This 512-nucleotide ribosomal RNA is filed under the name Legionella pneumophila. Its description in RNAcentral is "partial 23S ribosomal RNA". It matches the Rfam family "Bacterial large subunit ribosomal RNA", at positions 1229 to 1735 of the family's 2925-position model. Lineage: Bacteria; Pseudomonadati; Pseudomonadota; Gammaproteobacteria; Legionellales; Legionellaceae. The record is from RNAcentral.
UAGGGGAGCGUUCUGUAGGCUGAUGAAGGUGCAUUGAGAAGUGUGCUGGAGGUAUCAGAAGUGCGAAUGCUGACAUGAGUAACGAUAAUGUGGGUGAAAAGCCCACACGCCGGAAGUCCCAGGUUUCCUGCACGACGUUAAUCGGAGCAGGGUGAGUCGGCCCCUAAGGCGAGGCUGAAGAGCGUAGUCGAUGGGAACCAGGUUAAUAUUCCUGGACUUUUUAUAAGUGGUGAAGUGGGGACGAAGAAGGCUAGGUGAGCCAGGCGUUGGUUGUCCUGGUACUUGCAUGUAGGGGGGAAGACUUGGCAAAUCCGGUUUUCCAUAACUCUGAGGUGCGAAGUGGUUCUGACCUUUUGGUACAGAGAAGUCAUUGAUGCCCGGCUUCCAGGAAAAGCUGCUAGCCAUAACUUAUAGAGAACCGUACCGCAAACCGACACAGGUGGACAGGUAGAGAAUACUAAGGCGCUUGAGAGAACUCGGGUGAAGGAACUAGGCAAAAUGGUACCGUAACU